GAGUUUGAUCGUGGCUCAGAUUGAACGCUGGCGGCAGGCCUAACACAUGCAAGUCGAGCGGAUGACGGGAGCUUGCUCCUUGAUUCAGCGGCGGACGGGUGAGUAAUGCCUAGGAAUCUGCCUGGUAGUGGGGGACAACGUUUCGAAAGGAACGCUAAUACCGCAUACGUCCUACGGGAGAAAGCAGGGGACCUUCGGGCCUUGCGCUAUCAGAUGAGCCUAGGUCGGAUUAGCUAGUUGGUGGGGUAAUGGCUCACCAAGGCGACGAUCCGUAACUGGUCUGAGAGGAUGAUCAGUCACACUGGAACUGAGACACGGUCCAGACUCCUACGGGAGGCAGCAGUGGGGAAUAUUGGACAAUGGGCGAAAGCCUGAUCCAGCCAUGCCGCGUGUGUGAAGAAGGUCUUCGGAUUGUAAAGCACUUUAAGUUGGAGGAAGGGCAGUAAGUUAAUACCUUGCUGUUUUGACGUUACCGACAGAAUAAGCACCGGCUAACUCUGUGCCAGCAGCCG
RNAcentral lists this ribosomal RNA (512 nucleotides) under bacterium enrichment culture clone ALO1_GLFRUDD03HAMQC. RNAcentral describes it as "bacterial SSU rRNA". It matches the Rfam family "Bacterial small subunit ribosomal RNA", at positions 9 to 517 of the family's 1533-position model. The record is from RNAcentral.